CAGUAGCCACGGUAACACGAAGGGGGCUAGCGUUGUUUGGAAUUACUGGGCGUAAAGCGCACGUAGGCGGACAUUUAAGUCAGGGGUGAAAUCCCGGGGCUCAACCCCGGAACUGCCUUUGAUACUGGGUGUCUAGAGUAUGGAAGAGGUGAGUGGAAUUCCGAGUGUAGAGGUGAAAUUCGUAGAUAUUCGGAGGAACACCAGUGGCGAAGGCGGCUCACUGGUCCAUUACUGACGCUGAGGUGCGAAAGCGUGGGGAGCAAACAGGAUUAGAUACCCCUGUAGUCCCUGUCUCUUAUAA
Molecule: ribosomal RNA, 301 nt
Filed under: uncultured bacterium
Lineage: Bacteria
Description: partial 16S ribosomal RNA
Rfam family: Bacterial small subunit ribosomal RNA
Source: RNAcentral